Ficedula albicollis (Collared flycatcher) is the source of this 5505-nucleotide long non-coding RNA. The record is from Ensembl. NCBI's taxonomy places the organism in Eukaryota, Metazoa, Chordata, Aves, Passeriformes, Muscicapidae.
ACAGAGUUCCCAGCCUUUGUCCCUCUGCUGAAUUCCUGAUUCAGCAGAUGUGUUCAGGAACAGACAGCAGGUACAGGCACACAGGUGCCCAGGGACACUGACAGCACAGGUGCUCAGGGACACUGAGGACAGCAGGUACAGGCACACAGGUGCCCAGGGACACUGAGGGCACAGGUCCAAGCUUGGUGCUCAGUGCUGCCCCACCACCAGCCCUUCCCACACACCCUCCUUCCAACAUUGGAAAUAAACCUUUGUUUUCCUUGUUCACAACCACUGCUGAGUACCUGAGUCAUACCUUGAAGCAAACUGUGAGGGGGAGCAGGGAACCCCCACACUCAUCCUCGUCCUCUGCAGGAAAAGGAGCCAGAACAAACCAGCAAAGCUUCAUCUUUGCACGUGUGCAGAAGAGUCGGGCUCGAGGCUCUCCUGGAGAAAUCUCACAUCAUGGGAAUUUCAUGGGAACCUGCAAAAACAGAAACCUGAGCCAGGACACAAUUUCACUGAGCUGUAGAGACCACAGGUCACUGAUUCUGAAUGACUUGUAUCUAGGGCUGGCUCAUGCCCACAUUCCAUUCCUUUCUCCUUUUGAUAUUUCCUCUGUUAACCUGCAGCAUUUGUUCACUGCCCUACAAGAAUAUCCCCAUAAGAAAAUCAAGAUUCAACAGUUAGAAAACGGUAAAUUUUAAAUUACAAUAAUAAAACAGAUCCUUUCACAUUUAAACUGCAAUCUUUUAUGUUCAUAUACAGGUUUUUCUGCCUCUACCUAUUUGAGAUGAAGAACGAAGCUGCCCUGGAAAUGAAUCUGGGCUGUGUUGGGAUUACUUGUGUGACACUGCCUCACUUGUUCCACAAGAUGUGAGUUUAGGAGAUACAAGAUGCUGCGAGGAGGGAAAGAGAGAGACAGCUGAGAGGUUUCCUGGAAGUCUGGUUUGAUUUUGUGAACUGUGGACAACUCUUGAGAAAAGUUUAUCUGCACAGAACCAGCCCUCUCCUCCUCACCGUUGGGUGCUAUUGAGGGGAGCUGGCUUCUCCCAUGCUCAUUCCCCUCAAAACUAAUUCAGAGGAGGAAUUUAAUUGAUGUUCUUCAAAGAGCUCUUGGCUGUAGGGCUCUCCUUCCUCUCUCCAUGGGCAAACUUGGGGAAACCCAGUGACAAGUGGAGUUAGGAGGAGUCUUUUGUGUGGUGAACUGGUUUGCAGAGUUAGUGUGAGCUUUACAGCUCAGUUUCCAGCUGUAACACAAGCCUAAUUCCACUCCUUACCUUCAGGGACACUGCCAAGACCAGAUCACUCACCCCAGUGCAACAGCAAGAAUGAUAGAAAAAUGCCAAAAAGAAAGAGUGCCAGGAAGAGCAGUCACCAGGGACUGACAAACUCAGACAACAGCCUGGAAAGAAAAAGUCAUGGCAGGUAGAAGCUUUUCUUGAAGCUAGGAUGUCACACCUUCUGAACUGAAAGAGUCAAAUGGUCUCUGAGAGAAGAAAUCGUGAUCCUGCAAUUAAAGCUGCUCCAUAACAAUGUCAAUAUUGACGGUUGCAGUGGCAAUCCAAGCCCUGCCAUCUCCUGUCCCAAUACCCAGCUCUGUAACCUGGCCUGCUCUGCUCUAACACAGGCUUUCCAGAUGGCUUUAAAACCACAGAAAAUACAUCCAAUAACUUACUGCUUUGGAGUCACAGAGCCUUCAAAGCACAAUCUGUGCUCAGAGACUUCCUUAACCUGCUGGAGUUGUGGCCAGAUCCAUGAGCUGCAUCCUCACCUGUGUCAGACCCAAGGCAGAGGGGCUUUGUGCUGGACUCCAAAGGCUCUGAUGGACUUUGGGCAAAUCCAGCCUGAAUUUCAGCUAGAAAUACAUGCAGUAGAGAUAUUCCUUAGAAUAUCUAUUCCUUAGAAUAUCUAUUCUCUUUUAAUUUCUAUUCUCUUUUAAAACCAUAAUCUGUUACUAAUUAAAGCAAUUACUUUUCAUGGCAUGUAUUCUAAUCACAAAAAAAGGCACACGAACUGAAUGACUUUGGUCUGACUUGUUUCAGUUACAAGAGAUAAAGACGCCUCACAUCCACAGUAAGCCAUGCCAAACACCUCACCAAAGCUGAAACAGAAGCCUGGACGGUGAUCACUGUGACCCCAGGGGGUGCUGGCACUGUCCCAGGACACCCUGAACUCACAGCACACUCCCUGUGUCACUGGGCUUCGCUUCUCUGCCCUCCCUGCACAUCCCUGGCCAAAGAGAUCUAUUAUAAGAAUGUACAACUAUUAUAAGAAUAAACAAUUUUCAUUUUAAGUAGGUUAAACUCUUUUUGAAACAGAGAACACUGUAAGAGUAGGUUUUAUAGCUGCCUGCUACUGGAAAAUCUCCCAAUUUAGUUUUAAGAGUUGCUUCUCUGUCCAUCUGUAACGUCCAACAUGGGAUUACCUGGUUUUAUUUUGCAAAGCUACGUUGUUGGUUCCCCCAGUUACAGGGCAGAGCCUUUAGUAACACGAGGCUAACAAAGACAGGGACUGAGAAUGUUUGAGAGACUAGAAUUAUUUUACCCCAAGUUACCAAUAAAACUGCAGCUAUUUUGCUACAAAAACCUAGAGUGGGAAGGUUAAUUACCAGGAAGAACUGAACACGUAUGGGAGAGCACUCAGCUUCACAAACAUAAAGCAAUGGCUAACAUACUCCAUUAUGCAAAUGAAUUCAAAGAUAUUUCACAACUGAUCAGCUAGGAGGGACAUAAUGAUUUAUAAUUCAAAUAACUGAGCUUUGAAAUCAAAUUGGACUAAUAUAUUUCAAAAUAUGCAAACCUGGAAUAAUUGUGAAAGUCAUGGAAACCCUGAUACAAACCAAAUAAUUUGUUGCCUUUGUUGAUACCUUCUUACAUUUUUUCUUAUUUUUUCCUGUUUUGUAGUGCAGUUGCUGAAAUUACAGUUUGUUUUUAAUUCUACAUUAUCCUUUGGAAAAACAUUAUAAUAUACAUUAAAAAAAAAGAAAAAUACGAAUUUCUGAGACUAUGUAAAAGCUGAUUGGUGCAAAGAAAAGUACUGAAAUUAAAUAAAUUAUUAUUUUAACCUUUCAGGCAAGCCACAAUUUAAUCUGUUUCAAAUACUGAAAAUUGAUCCACUGGAUCAAGCAUCUUAACAAUAUACUGCUUCUUUCAAAGCAAUAUAUACUUAAAGCCUUUGAAAAACCUCUAAUAUAAUGUGAAAAGGCCAAAGUUUGCAAUGCCAGGAAGUAGUUAUAAACUACUUCAUAUGUUUGAAAUAAAAAGUACUUCAGUAUUAUUAUUAAAAAAAAACCCUAUUGGUAGAGUUUUUAAUAGGAAAAAAAUACAUAUCUUUAAAAGCCAAAAUGACCAGUGAAAUUAGGUUGUACAUCAUUUUCUGGGAAAAAGGAAAAACAGCCUCGACAGGUGUAAUUUAUCAUUUUUCUGAUUUAAUACCAAAGAAAUAUAUUAAAAUAAUAAAAAGAAUCCUGAAAUCCUCAAAAUUUGUAGUGAUAAAUAGCCCUCCCUGUCUUUAUUGCAUUAUGCCUACUAACAGAAAUAUUGCAUGGUGGAUUUCGCCAGACAAGGACGAUUAUUUUCCAAUAAAAAGUUGCAUAUUAAAUUCCAGCACAAAAGUGGGUGUCUAAUACUUUUGAAAUCUUUUAUGGCUUGCCAGGGAACACAAUUGUAAACGUAACUGAUACAAGCUGAGGUGAAGGGGAGCAGCCUGGAAGCUGCCAGGGCACAGCAGCAGCAGAGGCUGCAGCCCAGGGCUCCUCCUGGAACCAUUCCAGUGGAACACACCUGGGCGUUUGUCCUGAGAGCUGAUCUCCCUUCUGCUGCUCCUUCAACACUUCUCGCUGCUGGCGAAGAACUGAUUCAUCUAAAAGAGGAGGACUGCUUUGGGUUUCCUCCCCUUGCCACCUUUAACUAUUAAUGCCAAGUGUUUGCUAGAAAAUUCUUUUCAGAAGGCAGAAGUGGAGUGCAGCUCCCUUCACCUCAGGGCUGCUGCACAUGCUGAGCACGCAGAGGGGUCUGAAACUCUUCUGCUGACAUUCAGCAAGUUUCUGCAAAGAAAAAUCCCACAGCUUCAUCACAAUGCUAAUCUUCAAGAGAACUUAGGGCAUUAAAUAUCUACUUUUCCAUCCUUUCUACGUCCUGAUAUUAUUAGAUCUAUUUCACAAGCAGAAACUCAUUUACUGCAAACACAAUGUGAGCAAUCUGAAAGCUGUCCAGAGCUUUCAGCCUUGGAAAGGAUUAUUUGCACCAACAGUGUAUCUUGUAUCAUUCCUCUUCCAGCCUGCAGAAGACACCAGGAAAUGCUGAAUGCUUGCUGGCUUUAGCAGCAAUGUGAGGUGAUUCUGCCAGCACACUCGGGAAUAACCAGAGAAGAACUCACAGCCAGGGGCCCUCAGCUACAUUUCAUGGGGAUUCUGAAAGUGCUCUGAGUCCUACAGAAGCAACAAGUAUCAGUAGAAAGGAGGAGAGAGCUCAUUAGUUCCUUCAUAAAUCUUGUUAAUGAAAUAAAUGUCUCUCAUUCUGGUUUUCUUGAAUUCCUUAGCAAUGUUUCAAGUCCUUUCCAGUCUGAUUUCUGUGAUGCCAUGAGAAAAUAAACACAUGCAUAUUUAAAAUAUCAAGUUAGCUGCUUAAUGGUAUUUCAAGUCAGCAUAUAGAAGUACACCUUGUACGGUUUUCAUUAAACAAAAUUCACUUAUGGAAUGUGAAAACCUGCACUCAUCUUUCAAACCAAGGAAAUAUAUUAAAAUUAUUCUUACAGUAUUAGAGUUCUAUGGAGAAAUAAAAUGACACCAAUUGUCAUAUUCCAGGUGCCUUCUCCUUUGUUUGUGUAACAACCUCCUCCAGAAAAUUACUGAAAAGUUGCUUUUGUGAGCCCUGGUGGUUUAUUAUCUGUCAUAUACCUUUAAAUAUUGUGUCAUAUCAAACACUGCUACUAGGGGUUGUUUUUUUCUAUCUUCUUGCUUGGCUGACUGAACAUGCCAAGAACAAACAUUCUUCUGCAACUAAUGGUAAGUGAAUAUUAACUAGGAUAAGCUACAAAAGGCACCAACAGAGAGCAAGGUAGCAUCCAUGACUGGGUAAGAAUUUCACAAAAACAUCUGAACCCAAACAAAACAAACAAAAAAGCCCUGUGAUUUCCUGGCUUGGGAACCCUGGCACCAAUUCCUGACCCUGACAUCAAAUCCACAGAAUGACAGAAUCAGCUGAGUCAGAAGGGACCACAAGGUUCAUUGAGUGCAACUCUCAGCCCUGCACAGAACAUCCCCAAAAGCCACAUCCUGUGACAGAGCAUUGUCCAAACUGCCCUUGAACUCUGCCAGGGUGGCGCUGCCUCACUGCCCUGGGAGCCAGGAGAGGCCCAAAGGGUCAGUAACCCAGCCCAGCUGUGUCCAGGUGUGCCCCAGUCUCACAGACUCAGCCCAGCUGUGUCCAGGUGUGCCCCAAAGGGUCAGUGACUCAGCCCAGCUGUGUCCAGGUGUGCCCCAAAGGGUCAGUGACUCAGCCCAGCUGUGUCCAGGUGUGCCCC